GAUGAACGCUAGCGGCAGGCUUAAUACAUGCAAGUCGAGGGGCAGCGCGGGUAGCAAUACCUGGCGGCGACCGGCAAACGGGUGCGGAACACGUACGCAACCUUCCCAUAACUGGUGAAUAGCCCUCCGAAAGGAGGAGUAAUGCACCGUAACAUAACGAAGAGGCAUCUUUUUGUUAUUAUAGUAGCAAUACGGUUUUGGAUGGGCGUGCGCCUGAUUAGGUAGUUGGUGGGGUAACGGCCCACCAAGCCUGCGAUCAGUAACUGGUGUGAGAGCACGACCAGUCACACGGGCACUGAGACACGGGCCCGACUCCUACGGGAGGCAGCAGUAAGGAAUAUUGGUCAAUGGACGAAAGUCUGAACCAGCCACGCCGCGUGAAGGAUUAAGGCCCUCUGGGUUGUAAACUUCUUUUAUCUGGGACGAAAAAAGGGCAUUCUUGCUCACUUGACGGUACCAGAGGAAUAAGCACCGGCUAACUCCGUGCCAGCCGCCGCGGUAA
Molecule: ribosomal RNA, 502 nt
Filed under: uncultured bacterium
Lineage: Bacteria
Description: partial 16S ribosomal RNA
Rfam family: Bacterial small subunit ribosomal RNA
Source: RNAcentral